RNAcentral lists this ribosomal RNA (1071 nucleotides) under Scinax sp. KAV02. RNAcentral's name for it is "partial 16S large subunit ribosomal RNA". It matches the Rfam family "Bacterial large subunit ribosomal RNA", at positions 828 to 2576 of the family's 2925-position model. The record is from RNAcentral. Lineage: Eukaryota; Metazoa; Chordata; Amphibia; Anura; Hylidae.
ACCUAACGAGCCUAGUGAUAGCUGGUUACUUGAGAAAAGAAUUUAAGUCCAACCUAAAAUUUUCCUCUUACAAUAAAAAUACUAUGAUUUUAGAGCAAUUCAAAUAAGGUACAGCCUAUUUGAAACAGGAUACAACCUAAAAUGACGGGUAAGAUAUUCCCAUUUACCUCAGUAGACUUAAGAGCAGUCAUCUACUUAAAAGCGUCAUAGCUUAGCUAAAGUCACAAUACAAUCCCCACCCUUAUCUCAAACCCUCCCCCCCCAUCGAGUAGUUCUAUAAAUUUAUAGAAGAUUUUAUGUUAAAACUAGUAACAAGAAGGACGACCUUCUCUUCAAUGCAAAUAUAAACCAGAAAGGACAAGCCACUGGUAGUUAACGUCUCUGAACACAAAUUAGCAAAUUCACAAGAAAAAACUUAUGCUACAUACGUUAACCUGACACAAGAGCAUUAUAAGAAAGAUUAAAAGAAAAGGAAGGAACUCGGCAAAUAUUAACCCCGCCUGUUUACCAAAAACAUCGCCUCUUGACUAAAAAUAAGAGGUCCCGCCUGCCCAGUGACUCAUGUUCAACGGCCGCGGUAUCCUAACCGUGCGAAGGUAGCGUAAUCACUUGUUCUUUAAAUGGGGACUAGUAUGAAUGGCACCACGAGGGUUAUACUGUCUCCCUUUUUUAAUCAGUGAAACUAAUCUCCCCGUGAAGAAGCGGGGGUAUAACUAUAAGACGAGAAGACCCUAUGGAGCUUUAAAUUUCAAUUCAAAUGCCAUCUAAUCCUAAAAGUUUCAACUUUUUUUCUCCCCAAGCCUGGCAUUAUGAAAUAGAAUUUUAGGUUGGGGUGACCGCGGAGCACAAUACAACCUCCACAUUGAACUAGGCCUACCACCUUGAGCAAUGAACUACGAUCCUAUGCACAAAAAAAUUUAUAUUCAUUGACCCAAUUUUUUUGAUCAACGAACCAAGUUACCCUAGGGAUAACAGCGCAAUCCUCUUCAAGAGCUCCUAUCGCCAAGAGGGUUUACGACCUCGAUGUUGGAUCAGGGUAUCCCAGUGGCGCAGCCGCUACUAAUGGUUCGU